Pseudophryne corroboree (corroboree frog) is the source of this 1080-nucleotide long non-coding RNA. RefSeq lists it as uncharacterized. The record is from RefSeq and is a predicted model, not a curated record. The transcript is spliced from 5 exons. Lineage: Eukaryota; Metazoa; Chordata; Amphibia; Anura; Myobatrachidae.
UGCUCCUUGUUAUAACAGUCCACCCGGUGCCAGUGAAAGGGGAUGAUCGUAUCUGUUUUAUUUUAUUAUUUUAUACUUAUAUAUUUAUAGAUUUAAAAAAUCUAGCUAUUCCUUCGUUUUAAAGCCCCGUGGAACUGUUGCUAGCUUGGAGGCAUUUUGGAAAUAAUGAAUUUACUGCACCUCUUGGUCGCCUCCCCCUUUUCCACCCCUAGGGGCAAAAGGCACUACAUUUCCUUUGGAGCAAGCAAAGAAUAAGGAAGCGCCGAGUUGUAAAUACCUUUUAUUAUUAGUGUUUUUUUUUCCUGUUAUCUCCCCACAGUUCUAUGCUGUAGAAAGCAGAGGAUCGCUGUGUUUUGUCCCCACCUUAUUUUUUUUUUAUUAUUUAAUUUUUUCUCCCUGUAAUAUUUUCUUGAAGCGCCACACAGCCUCACCGGAUCAGACAGAGGGAGAGAGAGAUAGACAGAGAGGGAGAGAAAGAAAAGAGAGAGAGAGAGAGAGAAAGAGAGAGAGAGAGAAGGGGAGAGGGAGACAGAGUGAGACAACAUUGAGCCCUUUCACACAUGGAUUCACUGCUAGCUGUACUAGCAGGCUGCUCGCAACCCAACAGUGGAUGUGAACAGAGGAGGGAGCAGAUGUGAAUUAUGGCACUUAUUGAAAAUAGCAUCCCCUUGAAAGAGGGGGGAUGUUAAAGAACUGAAAAAAAUGGACAAAGCUGUGUGUAGCAACCUGCCCUUUUCCUCGCGCUCAUGCUGAAAGUAAAUUAAAAGUAAAAAUUUGUAAUGAAAAUUACACAGUUGACUAUUCAGUGCGGCAGAUAUGGAAACAGCUACCAGCAUUGCACAGAUAAGUAAUUCAAUAUCCUCCAGCCUGCUUCAAGAAUGCAGAUAAAAUGAUAUGCACUGUGCAAAUAUGUGCACAGCCUUAUACCAGGGUGUAUAAUAUAGAGAGAGCUGGAAUGACAUUCAUGUUCUUACUCCUGAUCAGAUUGUGACUCUCCGGUCUUGUCAUUGUAGGGUGCCCUGCGUGGGGAUCGGAUUCUCCUGGGUGGAGGAAGCUGUGACACAGAGGACACACAAUGGA